Molecule: ribosomal RNA, 1287 nt
Filed under: metagenome
Description: bacterial LSU rRNA
Rfam family: Bacterial large subunit ribosomal RNA
Source: RNAcentral
UCGACACAGGUGAUCAGGUAGAGAAUACCAAGGCGAUCGAGAGAACUGUGGUUAAGGAACUCGGCAAAAUGCCCCCGUAACUUCGGGAGAAGGGGGACCAUGCCCGGUGAACAUCUUCACGGUGGGAGCUGGGUGUGGUCGCAGAGACCAGAGAGAAGCGACUGUUUACUAAAAACACAGGUCCGUGCGAAGACGUAAGUCGAUGUAUACGGACUGACGCCUGCCCGGUGCUGGAAGGUUAAGAGGACCGGUUAGCCGUAAGGCGAAGCUGAGAAUUUAAGCCCCAGUAAACGGCGGUGGUAACUAUAACCAUCCUAAGGUAGCGAAAUUCCUUGUCGGGUAAGUUCCGACCUGCACGAAUGGCGUAACGACUUCUCUGCUGUCUCGACCACAGACUCGGCGAAAUUGCACUACGAGUAAAGAUGCUCGUUACGCGCGGCAGGACGAAAAGACCCCGGGACCUUUACUAUAGCUUGGUAUUGGCGUUCGAUUCGGUUUGUGUAGGAUAGGUGGGAGACUGUGAAGCAUGCACGCCAGUGUGUGUGGAGUCGUUGUUGAAAUACCACUCUGAUCGUAUUGGACGUCUAACCUCGGCCCAUGAUCUGGGUUAGGGACAGUGCCUGGUGGGUAGUUUAACUGGGGCGGUUGCCUCCUAAAGAGUAACGGAGGCGCCCAAAGGUUCCCUCAGCCUGGAUGGCAAUCAGGUGUUGAGUGCAAGUGCACAAGGGAGCUUGACUGUGAGACUGACACGUCGAGCAGGGACGAAAGUCGGGACUAGUGAUCCGGCACCGGCAAGUGGAAGCGGUGUCGCUCAACGGAUAAAAGGUACCCCGGGGAUAACAGGCUGAUCUUCCCCAAGAGUCCAUAUCGACGGGAUGGUUUGGCACCUCGAUGUCGGCUCGUCGCAUCCUGGGGCUGGAGUAGGUCCCAAGGGUUGGGCUGUUCGCCCAUUAAAGCGGCACGCGAGCUGGGUUUAGAACGUCGUGAGACAGUUCGGUCUCUAUCCGCCGCGCGCGUAAGAAACUUGAGGAAGGCUGUCCCUAGUACGAGAGGACCGGGACGGACGAACCUCUGGUGUGCCAGUUGUUCCACCAGGAGCAUGGCUGGUUAGCUACGUUCGGAAGGGAUAACCGCUGAAAGCAUCUAAGCGGGAAGCCUGUUCCAAGAUGAGGUUUCUCACCACCUUGCGUGGUUAAGGCCCCCUACAGACCAUGGGGUUGAUAGGCCGGAACUGGAAGCGCAGCAAUGCGUGGAGGUGACCGGUACUAAUAGGCCGAGGGCUUACAG